AACAAUUCUUGAUGUGGACCCUCCUCCACAGUGGAAUGAUUGGAUAAAACUCAGCACUUAGAACAGCACUGUCACAAAGAAGUUCUCAACAGAGCCUGGCUAUUAUGACGGGGACAGUUAGUGCUCGGAGCUUGUUUAUUCUUUCCAUUGCACUCACUGGCCUCCUUUGCAGUUAGUUUAAGGCCAGGUGCCUAAUUAUACUUCAUGAACUAGAGCAGAAGGGGUGAGGCAGUAAAGAACCAGUGCCUUGAGACCUCUCUUUCCCUGUUGAAGAGGACUGGGAGGCGUGAGUUCAAGUCGGCAGAGCUCCAUGGUGGGGUGCCACCCCAUCCUCAUCAGAGUGCCGCGAGGGUGACAAAUUUAUGCUACAUCGCUGACAUUUCCAGGUUAAUUCAUUGCCUCAAGAUGUCUUCACUAGGGAAUCUUCCCAGCCCUGGGAUAGAACCCAAAUCUCCUGUGCCGCCUACACUGGCAAGAGUAUUAUUUUACCCCUGAGCCACCUGGGAAGCCUUUGGUGCAUGGUUAAUUCAGAUGAGUG
This 538-nucleotide long non-coding RNA is filed under the name Capra hircus (goat). Its description in RNAcentral is "lncRNA (ENSCHIG00000007137.1)". Lineage: Eukaryota; Metazoa; Chordata; Mammalia; Artiodactyla; Bovidae. The record is from RNAcentral.